RNAcentral lists this transfer RNA (73 nucleotides) under Mus musculus (house mouse). Its description in RNAcentral is "tRNA-Ala". Lineage: Eukaryota; Metazoa; Chordata; Mammalia; Rodentia; Muridae. The record is from RNAcentral.
GGGGAUGUAGCUUAAGUGGUAGAACACUUACCUGGCAUGCCUGAGGCCCUGGGUUUGAUCCCCAGUGCUAGCA